RNAcentral lists this ribosomal RNA (253 nucleotides) under uncultured bacterium. Its description in RNAcentral is "partial 16S ribosomal RNA". It matches the Rfam family "Bacterial small subunit ribosomal RNA", at positions 524 to 776 of the family's 1533-position model. The record is from RNAcentral.
UACAGAGGUCCCAAGCGUUGUUCGGAUUCACUGGGCGUAAAGGGUGCGUAGGUGGUGAGGUAAGUCGGAUGUGAAAUCUCCGGGCUCAACCCGGAAAUGGCAUUGGAAACUACCUUGCUAGAGGGUUUGAGGGGGGAUUGGAAUACUUGGUGUAGCAGUGAAAUGCGUAGAUAUCAAGUGGAACACCAGUGGCGAAGGCGACAUCCUGGACCGGUAUUGACGCUGAGGCGCGAAAGCCAGGGGAGCAAACGGG